GCGAUGCUCCAGAAAUCUGGAGACUGGGGUGUGCAGCCAAGAAAAGAGGCAGUAGUGUGAUCUGAGAACCGGGGGUCCCCGUACCUUUCCCGAGAGAGUCCCCUUCACCAUGAGAGACUCGGGGUGUGUGUGCACGUGCAGACACACACGCACACAUUCGGGCAGGCACUGACCGCGAAGAAUCCUCGUCCCCGCCUCUCCCCUUCCACUCCCUGGGUCCCCAGCCAUCAUGCGCAUCUCCACCCUCCAGCGGGAAGAGGCAGGCCAUGGGGGGGGGGGGCAGGGGGCGGGGUGUUCUUGAUUCUACCAGCCAGGAAAGUCGGCACACCCACACCGGAGCCGUUCCUGUCCCUCUCACUGCCCGGGGGUGGGGGUGGGGUACUGUUGGAGCACACACGGUCGGAGCACACACACGGUCGGACCUCCCGUGCUUCUGUGACUUACUCGUGGUCUCCCCGGAGGUGCCAUUUGAAGACUCGAAAGGCAGGGAGUGGAUUCAGUGGAACCCACAGAGGGUAGGGGUCCGCGGCCUCACGGGGGUCUCAGAGAGUGGGAUUGGUGUGCGAUUCUCUCCCUGCUCCGCAGGCUGGCGAUGCAUCUACUUCAUCUCCAUUCACUCGGAGGAAAUUCAGGUUUGGAAAGGCCGACGAGCCCGUCCGAGUGCUCACAGUGGUGGAGUCUGGUGGUCAAGAACAAGCGUCCUGGCGUCUUUGUGUCUGAAUCCCGCCUUGGCAGUCAGGAGCCACGGUAACCUUGGGCAAAUUACGUAAGCUCUCAGUAAUCGGGUUUCUUAUCUAUCAGAUCAGGGAUGUUAAGAAGAUUAAAUUAGAGGGUGCAUGUGGAAGCGCUUAGCGCUGGCCUGACCCCUGGAAGAAGUGCGUCUCUGAGAGGCCUCUCUGGUCACCUCACAGCUUGCCAGCCAUGCUGGUGACUCCGCUGGCCAGCAGUGGGUGACACUCUCCAGUGUCUCAUUGCACUCCCAAAGUGGCAGCAAGGCAGGAUCCUGAAGACCCCUGAAGACACCAGAGGCUGCUCUUGACCUUUUGGAGAGAACGUCUGGCUGAGGUUAACCAGUAAAGGAAGAGGGGGAAGCAACCUCUGGGUGCCCAUGGAGCUCCAAUUCAUUGCCGCGGAGUCCAUGUCUGGACUCAAAACCACUGGGAGCCACUGCUGCUGACACUUCUCUGGCUUCUUCAGCUCCCUGAAAGCAGCAGGUGAUGACGGCCCAAGUGCUUGGGCCCCUGCACCCACGUGGAGACCCGGAGGAAGCUCCUGGCUUUGGCCUGGCCUAGCCUGGCUGCUGUGGCCAUUUGGGGAAUGAACUAGCAAGUGGACAGUCCCUCUCCCUCUCUUUCUCACUCUCUCACUUUCACUCUCAUUCUCGCUCUUGCUCUCACUCUCAUAACUCUGCCUUUCAAAUAAAUAAAAUCUUUUUUUUUUAAUAGAACUGAGU
Molecule: long non-coding RNA, 1453 nt
Filed under: Oryctolagus cuniculus (rabbit)
Lineage: Eukaryota; Metazoa; Chordata; Mammalia; Lagomorpha; Leporidae
Description: lncRNA (ENSOCUG00000034050.1)
Source: RNAcentral